This 426-nucleotide ribosomal RNA is filed under the name uncultured bacterium. RNAcentral's name for it is "bacterial SSU rRNA". It matches the Rfam family "Bacterial small subunit ribosomal RNA", at positions 33 to 507 of the family's 1533-position model. The record is from RNAcentral.
GACGCUGGCGGCAGGCUUAACACAUGCAAGUCGAGCGCGUAGCAAUACGAGCGGCAGACGGGUGAGUAACGCGUGGGAAUCUACCCAACCCUACGGAAUAACGCAUGGAAACGUGUGCUAAUACCGUAUACGCCCUUCGGGGAAAGAUUUAUCGGGGAUGGAUGAGCCCGCGUUGGAUUAGCUAGUUGGUGGGGUAAAGGCCUACCAAGGCGACGAUCCAUAGCUGGUCUGAGAGGAUGAUCAGCCACAUUGGGACUGAGACACGGCCCAAACUCCUACGGGAGGCAGCAGUGGGGAAUAUUGGACAAUGGGCGCAAGCCUGAUCCAGCCAUGCCGCGUGAGUGAUGAAGGCCCUAGGGUUGUAAAGCUCUUUCACCGGUGAAGAUAAUGACGGUAACCGGAGAAGAAGCCCCGGCUAACUUCGUG